RNAcentral lists this ribosomal RNA (301 nucleotides) under uncultured bacterium. RNAcentral's name for it is "partial 16S ribosomal RNA". It matches the Rfam family "Bacterial small subunit ribosomal RNA", at positions 509 to 807 of the family's 1533-position model. The record is from RNAcentral.
CAGCAGCCGCGGGAAUACGAAGGGGGCUAGCGUUGUUAGGAUUUACUGGGCGUAAAGCGCACGUAGGCGGACUUUUAAGUCAGGGGUGAAAUCCCGGGGCUCAACCCCGGAACUGCCUUUGAUACUGGAAGUCUUGAGUAUGGUAGAGGUGAGUGGAAUUCCGAGUGUAGAGGUGAAAUUCGUAGAUAUUCGGAGGAACACCAGUGGCGAAGGCGGCUCACUGGACCAUUACUGACGCUGAGGUGCGAAAGCGUGGGGAGCAAACAGGAUUAGAUACCCCAGUAGUCCCUGUCUCUUAUAC